Molecule: long non-coding RNA, 1728 nt
Organism: Anopheles merus
Lineage: Eukaryota; Metazoa; Arthropoda; Insecta; Diptera; Culicidae
Exons: 3
Source: RefSeq, a predicted model, not a curated record
UUUUUGUGCCAGUAUUUUUGUUUUACAGGCAGUCCCCGAAAUACACGGUACCUCUUAUACGUGGAUUCGGAGGUACGCGGUUUCCUAAAUUUGGCAGAUUAUUUGAGCAAAUUAUACUGAUUUGACACAACCAUUGUCAAUUGCCAAAUAAUAUCCCAUCUGAUCGAAUAUCAAAAAACAUUUUAAAUGGUGUAAAAUUGUUCAAUUCAGUCAGAAUCAUAUCAAAUAAUUAAUUUAGAGCCUAAAACCACUUGCAAAAUUAUACGAAGAUUAUUGAUAUUUUAACUGGAAAUUACGAGAUUCGAUUUACGCGGAAAUUCCCCAUUAACCAUGUAUCUCGGGGACCGCCUGUACUCCUUUACUCGCAUUUUCGAGAUUAACAAAUACUUGUUGUACCGUUGUACCGUCCGUUGACGACAAGUAAGCACGUGUAAAAUGAACGAGAAUCGCACCGUUCGAACAGUUUGGUAAAGAGCACUAACGAACGAGAUUCUUAAAAAAAGAACGACCAGCCCAGCUAGCAAAGCUGAAGGCCUUUGUAUCGGAGCCAUCGCGCUCAUCAAGGCUCAUUCUAAAACAGCCGAAGUCAUACAAAAUCAUGAAAAAGUCUGCGCCCUUUUACUCCGGCUUCCUCCCGAAGUUAACCGAGCCGAACCGAAUAGUUGUGUUCGAUAAACAUUCCCAACCAGCAAAACCGAAGCUAUUGGAAAACUUUCCUGUGUGCCAAAGGGAGAGAGCAUGUCUUCUUUCUCUAGAUUUUGGACGACACAACGCCAAUCGUGUAGCCAGACAAACAAUUAUGAACGAAAAACGGGAGAAGGGGAAACCAAUAUCCUUCGAGUGACACACACACAUGCAUCUGCAUGCGGAUUCCGCUGAACCGAGACUACCCAUCUCUCUCGAUCUCACAUGAUUUUUGUGCUAUCGCGCUCAUCCGGGUGUUAGGCAUCCUCAGUCUGUCCAGAACUUUCACUGUGGAAGGAUGUGUUGGAGUGAUGUGUGAUUUUUUGUGCCCCGUACUUUGCUCGUCUACGUUUUAAGUAUGUUAUAGUGCACGCGCAUGUUAAUCGACGGUUGCCAACAUCCUGCAAAACCAUCGACGGAAGGUAAACGUUGUCCGGUUUUAAAAUAUCAAGGGUUCAUCACAGCUCUUUCGUAGAAGAGCGCACUUCAAGGACGCCUAGGAUACGGCUAAACAUACGCAGCACCAGCCCGUGACGUCAUUUCCAGAUAGGCGCCGGCUGAACACGCGCAGCACCAGUCGGGGAUGUCCUAGCGAGAAGGGCAGAAGGAGGAACGAGAGGAAGGGUAACGGAAGGUUACCGCUACAAUUGUAGGGGGUGAAGCAUCCAGUCGUGUAUAGAGUGUGAGUGUGCCAAAACGCAUGUGGAAAGAGGAAGUCCAAUAAAUAGCAUGCGAAAGUGUGCAUAAAGCAAAAAGAAAAAGCGUCACUACUACAACCAGCAAUCCGAAAAUAUAAGGGGAGAGAUAAAUACAAAUGUAUGCGUGAGCAGGACCAGCAAUCCAAGCAUUUGAAUGUGUGCGUGCAGGUCGGUUUGUGCCGUGCUGAAUGUUUUUACUUUAGCUGCUGCUAGUGUAAAAACUUACCCAAGGACGCAAAAACCGACGGCGGCCUGUGUAAUCUGAGCUCCCUACAAAGCUCUCCACAAAGCUGUCGUUUGCACUCUUGUCGAGAGCUUCGCCACAGGCGCCCGAACCAUCCGUCAC